RNAcentral lists this ribosomal RNA (958 nucleotides) under uncultured archaeon. RNAcentral describes it as "bacterial SSU rRNA". It matches the Rfam family "Archaeal small subunit ribosomal RNA", at positions 1 to 922 of the family's 1478-position model. The record is from RNAcentral.
UUCCGGUUGAUCCUGCCGGAAUUGGAGUCAACGCCGGGCUUCCGGUUGAUCCUGCCGGAGGCCAUUGCUAUCGGGGUCCGAUUUAGCCAUGCUAGUCGCACGGGUUCAGACCCGUGGCGAACAGCUCAGUAACACGUGGCCAAGCUACCCUGUGGUCGCGGACAACCUCGGGAAACUGAGGCUAAUCCGCGAUACCGCUCCCAGGCUGGAGUGCCGGGAGCGCCAAACGUUCCGGCGCCACAGGAUGCGGCUGCGGCCGAUUAGGUAGACGGUGGGGUAACGGCCCACCGUGCCGAUAAUCGGUACGGGUGGUGAGAGCCAGAGCCCGGAGAUGGAAUCUGAGACAAGAUUCCAGGCCCUACGGGGCGCAGCAGGCGCGAAACCUUUACACUGCACGAAAGUGCGAUAAGGGGACCCCGAGUGCGAGGGCAUACAGUCCUCGCUUUUGUGUACCGUAGGGAGGUACACGAAUAAGGGCUGGGCAAGACCGGUGCCAGCCGCCGCGGUAAUACCGGCAGCUCAAGUGAUGGCCGCUAUUAUUGGGCCUAAAGCGUCCGUAGCCGGCCGCACAAGUCCGUCGGGAAAUCCACCCGCCUAACGGGUGGGCGUCCGGCGGAAACUGUGCGGCUUGGGACCGGAAGACUCGAGGGGUACGUCCGGGGUAGGAGUGAAAUCCCGUAAUCCUGGACGGACCGCCGGUGGCGAAAGCGCCUCGAGAGGACGGAUCCGACGGUGAGGGACGAAAGCUAGGGUCUCGGACCGGAUUAGAUACCCGGGUAGUCCUAGCCGUAAACGAUGCUCGCUAGGUGUGGCGCAGGCUACGAGCCUGCGCUGUGCCGUAGGGAAGCCGUGAAGCGAGCCGCCUGGGAAGUACGUCCGCAAGGAUGAAACUUAAAGGAAUUGGCGGGGGAGCACUACAACCGGAGGAGCCUGCGGUUUAAUUGGAUUCAACGCCGGA